GGUAAAAUGGCUGAGUAAGCAUUAGACUGUAAAUCUAACCACAGGGAGUAAUCUCUUUUUACCA
Molecule: transfer RNA, 64 nt
Organism: Loxodonta africana (African savanna elephant)
Lineage: Eukaryota; Metazoa; Chordata; Mammalia; Proboscidea; Elephantidae
Rfam family: tRNA
About the family: Transfer RNA (tRNA) molecules are approximately 80 nucleotides in length. Their secondary structure includes four short double-helical elements and three loops (D, anti-codon, and T loops).
Source: Rfam